RNAcentral lists this ribosomal RNA (130 nucleotides) under Neisseria sicca. Its description in RNAcentral is "partial 16S ribosomal RNA". It matches the Rfam family "Bacterial small subunit ribosomal RNA", at positions 1 to 121 of the family's 1533-position model. The record is from RNAcentral. Lineage: Bacteria; Pseudomonadati; Pseudomonadota; Betaproteobacteria; Neisseriales; Neisseriaceae.
UUGAAUUGAAGAGUUUGAUCAUGGCUCAGAUUGAACGCUGGCGGCAGGCUUAACACAUGCAAGUCGAACGGUAACAUAAAGAAGCUUGCUUCUUUGAUGACGAGUGGCGGACGGGUGAGUAAUGCUUGGG